This 90-nucleotide non-coding RNA is filed under the name Pediococcus stilesii. RNAcentral's name for it is "TPP sequence". It matches the Rfam family "TPP riboswitch aptamer (THI element)". Rfam says of the family: Vitamin B(1) in its active form thiamin pyrophosphate (TPP) is an essential coenzyme that is synthesised by coupling of pyrimidine and thiazole moieties in bacteria. The previously detected thiamin-regulatory element, thi box was extended, resulting in a new, highly conserved RNA secondary structure, the THI element, which is widely distributed in eubacteria and also occurs in some archaea. Analysis of operon structures identified a large number of new candidate thiamin-regulated genes, mostly transporters, in various prokaryotic organisms. The record is from Rfam by way of RNAcentral. Lineage: Bacteria; Bacillati; Bacillota; Bacilli; Lactobacillales; Lactobacillaceae.
UAAUAAAUGCUGGGGUGCCUUUUGGCUGAGAUUAUACCCAUUGAACCUGAUCUAAUUAGUAUUAGUGUAGGGAGAUUCUGGAUAAUAAAA